This is a long non-coding RNA of Saccostrea cuccullata (small rock oyster), 336 nucleotides long. RefSeq lists it as uncharacterized. The record is from RefSeq and is a predicted model, not a curated record. The transcript has 5 exons. Lineage: Eukaryota; Metazoa; Mollusca; Bivalvia; Ostreida; Ostreidae.
AAACGUAGAUGGUUCAAGUUCCACGGAAAGGGUUACCUACAGUGGGCCACCCAUUUCAAGAUUUCGUACUAAUCCAGAGAUUUGUAACGGCAAUCUGGGGCAACAACAGACUCCAAUGAUGAUAUGUGCUCCCAGUGAUCAGGGACUUCGACGUCCAAACACGUUGCAACUUUAUCAACCUAAUGCAUCAUUGGUACCAGUGUCAUACCGAUGUGUAAAUAAUCAUUCGCACAGCUCAUUUCGGGAAGUGGAAAACUGCAAUGAUACAAUGAAAGGAAUGGUUGCAAAUCGCUUGGAUUCCUCUCGGUGUUUUAUUAGUGUUGAAGAAUCUGGAAC